AGUGAACGCUGGCGGUAGGCCUAACACAUGCAAGUCGAACGGCAGCACAGUAAGAGCUUGCUCUUACGGGUGGCGAGUGGCGGACGGGUGAGGAAUACAUCGGAAUCUACUUUUUCGUGGGGGAUAACGUAGGGAAACUUACGCUAAUACCGCAUACGACCUACGGGUGAAAGCAGGGGAUCUUCGGACCUUGCGCGAUUGAAUGAGCCGAUGUCGGAUUAGCUAGUUGGCGGGGUAAAGGCCCACCAAGGCGACGAUCCGUAGCUGGUCUGAGAGGAUGAUCCGCCACACUGGAACUGAGAAACGGUCCAGACUCCUACGGGAGGCAGCAGUGGGGAAUAUUGGACAAUGGGCGCAAGCCUGAUCCAGCCAUACCGCGUGGGUGAAGAAGGCCUUCGGGUUGUAAAGCCCUUUUGUUGGGAAAGAAAAGCAGCAGGUUAAUACCCCGCUGUUCUGACGGUACCCAAAGAAUAAGCACCGGCUAACUUCGUG
RNAcentral lists this ribosomal RNA (492 nucleotides) under uncultured bacterium. RNAcentral describes it as "partial 16S ribosomal RNA". It matches the Rfam family "Bacterial small subunit ribosomal RNA", at positions 29 to 507 of the family's 1533-position model. The record is from RNAcentral.